This 501-nucleotide ribosomal RNA is filed under the name uncultured bacterium. Its description in RNAcentral is "bacterial SSU rRNA". It matches the Rfam family "Bacterial small subunit ribosomal RNA", at positions 28 to 520 of the family's 1533-position model. The record is from RNAcentral.
GAUGAACGCUAGCUACAGGCUUAACACAUGCAAGUCGAGGGGCAGCAUGAUUGAAGCUUGCUUCAAUUGAUGGCGACCGGCGCACGGGUGAGUAACACGUAUCCAACCUUCCGUACACUCAGGGAUAGCCUUUCGAAAGAAAGAUUAAUACCUGAUGGUAUCUUAAGCACACAUGUAAUUAAGAUUAAAGAUUUAUCGGUGUACGAUGGGGAUGCGUUCCAUUAGGUAGUAGGCGGGGUAACGGCCCACCUAGCCUACGAUGGAUAGGGGUUCUGAGAGGAAGGUCCCCCANAUUGGAACUGAGACACGGUCCAAACUCCUACGGGAGCAGCAGUGAGGAAUAUUGGUCAAUGGACGAGAGUCUGAACCAGCCAAGUAGCGUGAAGGAUGAAGGUCCUACGGAUUGUAAACUUCUUUAUAAGGGAUAAACUCUCCCACGUGUGGGAGCUUGUAUGUACCUUAUGAAUAAGCAUCGGCUAACUCCGUGCCAGCAGCCGACGG